GCCGGGCAUGGUGGCACUUGCCUGUAGUCUCAGCUAUUUGGGUGGCUGUGGCUGGAGGAUCACUUGCACCCAGGAGUUCUGGAUGGUAGUGUGCUAUGCUGAUCGGGUGUCCGCACUAAGUUCGGCAUCAAUAUGGUGACCUCCUGGGAGCAGGGGACCACCAGGUUGCCUAAGGAGGGGUGAACCAGCCCAGGUCAGAAAUGGAGCAGGUCAAAACUCCCGUGCUGAUUAGUAAUGGGAUCGUGCCUGUGAAUAGCCACUGCACUCUAGCCUGGGCAACAUAGAAAGACCCAGUAAAAA
RNAcentral lists this signal recognition particle RNA (300 nucleotides) under Callithrix jacchus (white-tufted-ear marmoset). RNAcentral's name for it is "Metazoan signal recognition particle RNA (ENSCJAG00000077570.1)". It matches the Rfam family "Metazoan signal recognition particle RNA". Rfam says of the family: The signal recognition particle (SRP) is a universally conserved ribonucleoprotein. It is involved in the co-translational targeting of proteins to membranes. Lineage: Eukaryota; Metazoa; Chordata; Mammalia; Primates; Cebidae. The record is from Rfam by way of RNAcentral.